GAGACAGCCGCCCAUCUCCUCUUUUAGUGUACAUUCACCGCCUGAGUUUGGAAUGAAGUUGUCAGCUGGCUCGGCAUGCACGGCCACUCGUCGAUGGCUUGGCACCAUGAAAGCUCUGUCCGCGAUUGGUGGCUCCGUUCGGUGGAGGCUGGAGGCCACAUCAAAAAGGCCACCACCUCGGUGAUGAUGCUUGUUUCUUGGGAAAUAUGGAAGGAGCGAAACACAAGAAUCUUUAGCAACACAGCCGCCUUGACCACCAUUGUCGUUGCAAGGAUCAAAGAGGAGGCCUAGCUUUGGGCAUUGGCGGGAGCGAAUCAUCUGAGUAGUCUCAUGUCGCGAGAGUAG
Molecule: ribosomal RNA, 345 nt
Filed under: Triticum aestivum (bread wheat)
Lineage: Eukaryota; Viridiplantae; Streptophyta; Magnoliopsida; Poales; Poaceae
Description: partial small subunit ribosomal RNA
Source: RNAcentral